Molecule: ribosomal RNA, 450 nt
Filed under: uncultured bacterium
Lineage: Bacteria
Description: partial 16S ribosomal RNA
Rfam family: Bacterial small subunit ribosomal RNA
Source: RNAcentral
GUGGGGAAUAUUGGACAAUGGGCGAAAGCCUGAUCCAGCCAUGCCGCGUGUGUGAAGAAGGUCUUCGGAUUGUAAAGCACUUUAAGUUGGGAGGAAGGGCAGUAAGUUAAUACCUUGCUGUUUUGACGUUACCGACAGAAUAAGCACCGGCUAACUUCGUGCCAGCAGCCGCGGUAAUACGAAGGGUGCAAGCGUUAAUCGGAAUUACUGGGCGUAAAGCGCGCGUAGGUGGUUCAGCAAGGUGGAGGUGAAAUCCCCGGGAUCAACCUGGGAACUGCCUCCAAAACUACUGAGCUAGAGUACGGUAGAGGGUAGUGGAAUUUCCUGUGUAGCGGUGAAAUGCGUAGAUAUAGGAAGGAACACCAGUGGCGAAGGCGACUACCUGGACUGAUACUGACACUGAGGUGCGAAAGCGUGGGGAGCAAACAGGAUUAGAUACCCGUGUAGUCC